GGUUUAAACCAACAAAACAUUGCUUAUAAGCAGUAAGCAGUUUUGUUAGUGGUUUUAUGGUCAAAAUGUGUCACAAUCCAAUAUAUUUGACUAAUUAUAAGAGUUAAAGAUGGAUUAGAAGUGUGUAGAACACACUUAUANNNNUUUAGCAU
This 152-nucleotide small RNA is filed under the name Arabidopsis thaliana (thale cress). Its description in RNAcentral is "ATSL035890". The record is from RNAcentral. Lineage: Eukaryota; Viridiplantae; Streptophyta; Magnoliopsida; Brassicales; Brassicaceae.